RNAcentral lists this transfer RNA (72 nucleotides) under Flavobacteriaceae bacterium. RNAcentral's name for it is "tRNA-Arg". It matches the Rfam family "tRNA". From Rfam's summary of the family: Transfer RNA (tRNA) molecules are approximately 80 nucleotides in length. Their secondary structure includes four short double-helical elements and three loops (D, anti-codon, and T loops). The record is from RNAcentral. Lineage: Bacteria; Pseudomonadati; Bacteroidota; Flavobacteriia; Flavobacteriales; Flavobacteriaceae.
GCAUUUGUGGUGUAAACGGAAGCACGUGGGUCUUCUAAACCGAAAGUCUGAGUUCGAGUCUCGGCAAAUGCU